This 460-nucleotide ribosomal RNA is filed under the name uncultured bacterium. Its description in RNAcentral is "partial 16S ribosomal RNA". It matches the Rfam family "Bacterial small subunit ribosomal RNA", at positions 339 to 795 of the family's 1533-position model. The record is from RNAcentral.
CUACGGGACGCUCCAGUAAGGAAUAUUGGGCAAUGGACGCAAGUCUGACCCAGCCAUGCCGCGUGCAGGAAGACAGCCCUACGGGUUGUAAACUGCUUUUAUACGGGAAAAAACUCCCGGUCGAGCACCGGGACUGAUGGUACCGUAAGAAUAAGCAUCGGCUAACUCCGUGCCAGCAGCCGCGGUAAUACGGAGGAUGCAAGCGUUAUCCGGAUUCAUUGGGUUUAAAGGGUGCGUAGGCGGAAUGAUAAGUCAGUGGUGAAAUCCUACAGCUCAACUGUAGAACUGCCAUUGAUACUGUUGUUCUUGAGUACAUUUGAAGUGGGCGGAAUGUGUCAUGUAGCGGUGAAAUGCUUAGAGAUGACACAGAACACCGAUUGCGAAGGCAGCUCACUAAACUGUAACUGACGCUGAGGCACGAAGGCGUGGGGAUCAAACAGGAUUAGAUACCCGCGUAGUC